Molecule: ribosomal RNA, 774 nt
Filed under: uncultured Neocallimastigales
Lineage: Eukaryota; Fungi; Neocallimastigomycota; Neocallimastigomycetes; Neocallimastigales
Description: partial large subunit ribosomal RNA
Rfam family: Eukaryotic large subunit ribosomal RNA
Source: RNAcentral
UAUGUGAUCGUCUCUCGCAUAUCAAUAAGCGGAGGAAAAGGAACUAACAAGGAUUCCCCUAGUAACGGCGAGUGAAGCGGGAAGAGCUCAAAUUUGAAAUCUUAAAGGGUUUCCCUUUACGAAUUGUAGUUUAAAGAAGUGUUUUCUGUUGAGGUUUUGGUAAAAGUUCUUUGGAAUAGGACAUCAUAGAGGGUGAGAAUCCCGUAUUUGACCUUUACUUUCAACUUUGUGAUACACUUUCAAAGAGUCGGAUUGUUUGGGAAUGCAGUCCAAAAUGGGUGGUAAAUUUCAUCUAAAGCUAAAUAUUGGCGAGAGACCGAUAGCGAACAAGUACCGUGAGGGAAAGAUGAAAAGAACUUUGAAAAGAGCGUUAAACAGUACGUGAAAUUGUCAAAAGGGAAGCGUUUGACACCAGUGUUGUUUUUCUGAAAAUCAAUUAAAGAACUGUUUAUGCUAAGUUGUUUAGACUUUAUCAGCUAACUGUUUAGUUUUGAGCUUUUCUUUAAUGCACUUUUCAGUUAACAAGUCAACAUCAAUUUCUUUUGCUGUAAAAAAGCUUGAGGAAGGUGGCUUGAGAUUCGUCUUAAGUGUUUAUAGCCUCUUGCCUAUGCAGUCGGAGAGAUUGAGGUCUGCAGCGUAGAUCCUUCGGGGCUAAAUGCAUUUGUGCUAAGUUAUAGCAUUUUAUAGACAACUUGUUGACUAUGAUUUGUCUUGUAACUUACUCGCUUAUGUUAUUUUACCUACGCUUAGGAUGUUGAUAUGCAUGACUGAUAU